Molecule: ribosomal RNA, 549 nt
Filed under: Dichotomopilus erectus
Lineage: Eukaryota; Fungi; Ascomycota; Sordariomycetes; Sordariales; Chaetomiaceae
Description: eukaryotic LSU rRNA
Rfam family: Eukaryotic large subunit ribosomal RNA
Source: RNAcentral
AAAGAAACCAACAGGGAUUGCCCUAGUAACGGCGAGUGAAGCGGCAACAGCUCAAAUUUGAAAUCUGGCCUCGGCCCGAGUUGUAAUUUGCAGAGGAAGCUUUAGGCGCGGCACCUUCUGAGUCCCCUGGAACGGGGCGCCAUAGAGGGUGAGAGCCCCGUAUAGUUGGAUGCCUAGCCUGUGUAAAGCUCCUUCGACGAGUCGAGUAGUUUGGGAAUGCUGCUCAAAAUGGGAGGUAAAUUUCUUCUAAAGCUAAAUACCGGCCAGAGACCGAUAGCGCACAAGUAGAGUGAUCGAAAGAUGAAAAGCACUUUGAAAAGAGGGUUAAAAAGCACGUGAAAUUGUUGAAAGGGAAGCGCUUGUGACCAGACUUGCGCCGGGCUGAUCAUCCGGUGUUCUCACCGGUGCACUCGGCCCGGCACAGGCCAGCAUCGGUUCUCGCGGGGGGAUAAAGGUCCCGGGAACGUAGCUCCUCCGGGAGUGUUAUAGCCCGGGGCGUAAUGCCCUCGCGGGGACCGAGGUUCGCGCAUCUGCAAGGAUGCUGGCGUA